GGACUAUCGAACAUGCACAGCCCAAGGCACAGGGGGUCAGUCUUUCACAAGACUUAAGCAAUGGCAGGCAAAACUAUAAAGCAAGCAGCAAGUUGUAACAAUUUUAUAUAGUAACUGGUCCAAAUAAUAAUAAUGAUGCCGAAACAAUUUACAAAUAAAUAAAGUUCAAAUGUUCCAAAUAAUAAAGUCACUAAUUUCACUAAUUCACAGUUAAAGUUAAGUCCAAAAUGUUCGUAAUAUUCCAAAUUGAUGUUGUCUGGCUUGAAUAGUUACUGUUGUGUUGAGCUGUCUUUUGAGUUAGCGGGUUUC
Molecule: long non-coding RNA, 309 nt
Filed under: Mytilus galloprovincialis (Mediterranean mussel)
Lineage: Eukaryota; Metazoa; Mollusca; Bivalvia; Mytilida; Mytilidae
Source: RNAcentral